Molecule: non-coding RNA, 30 nt
Filed under: Mus musculus (house mouse)
Lineage: Eukaryota; Metazoa; Chordata; Mammalia; Rodentia; Muridae
Source: RNAcentral
UCAUUUCUGCCCAUGGAGCGUUUUUGGGAU